UGCCGGGUCGUCUAACCGUAGGACAGCGCCCUUUGAAGGCGCGUAUGCAGGUGCAAAUCCUGCCCCGGCAG
This 71-nucleotide transfer RNA is filed under the name Verrucomicrobiia bacterium. Its description in RNAcentral is "tRNA-Gln". It matches the Rfam family "tRNA". Rfam says of the family: Transfer RNA (tRNA) molecules are approximately 80 nucleotides in length. Lineage: Bacteria; Pseudomonadati; Verrucomicrobiota; Verrucomicrobiia. The record is from RNAcentral.